ACUGCGGAGACAUUACCAGUGCCGCCGGCACGGGCCCUCUGGGCCUGCGUCGGUCUGAGCCCCACCCGUGAAUACUGAACCUCAUGUUGCCUCGGCGGGCCCGCCGCCCAGCGGCCGUCGGGGGGUCCCCAGGGCGGUGUCUUCACUGCCCUGGCCCCCGGGCCCGCGCCCGCCGAUGGAUACUGAACUUCUGAUGGAACUAAUGGGCUGUCUGAGUGAUUGUCAAAUCGUUAAAACUUUCAACAACGGAUCUCUUGGUUCCGGCAUCGAUGAAGAACGCAGCGAAAUGCGAUAAGUAGUGUGAAUUGCAGAAUUCCGUGAAUCAUCGAAUCUUUGAACGCACAUUGCGCCCCCUGGUAUUCCGGGGGGCAUGCCUGUCCGAGCGUCAUUGCAACCCUCAAGCGCGGCUUGUGUGUUGGGCCCUGCUGUCCCCGAACCUCCGGGGACAGGCCCCAAAGGCAGUGGCGGUGCCCUGAGGAGGCCCGAGCGUAUGGGAAUGGAGACAUGCCAGCUUGGAGGCCUUCGCAGGCGCCCGCCCGUCAACUCUCUUCUGGUUGACCUCGGAUCAGGUAGGAUUACCCGCUGAACUUAAGCAUAUCAAUAA
This 604-nucleotide unclassified non-coding RNA is filed under the name Currahomyces sparsispora. Its description in RNAcentral is "Auxarthronopsis sp. ERA-2019a sequence contains 18S rRNA gene, ITS1, 5.8S rRNA gene, ITS2". The stretch from base 235 to 388 matches the Rfam family "5.8S ribosomal RNA". Lineage: Eukaryota; Fungi; Ascomycota; Eurotiomycetes; Onygenales; Neogymnomycetaceae. The record is from RNAcentral.